GGCGUCAUCUGCAGCAUUUAGUCCUGA
This 27-nucleotide small RNA is filed under the name Bombyx mori (domestic silkworm). RNAcentral's name for it is "ovarian small RNA-17448". The record is from RNAcentral. Lineage: Eukaryota; Metazoa; Arthropoda; Insecta; Lepidoptera; Bombycidae.